GUGCCAGCAGCCGCGGUAAUACGUAGGUGGCAAGCGUUAUCCGGAAUUAUUGGGCGUAAAGCGCGCGUAGGCGGUUUUUAAGUCUGAUGUGAAAGCCCACGGCUCAACCGUGGAGGGUCAUUGGAAACUGGAAAACUUGAGUGCAGAAGAGGAAAGUGGAAUUCCAUGUGUAGCGGUGAAAUGCGCAGAGAUAUGGAGGAACACCAGUGGCGAAGGCGACUUUCUGGUCUGUAACUGACGCUGAUGUGCGAAAGCGUGGGGAUCAAACGGGAUUAG
RNAcentral lists this ribosomal RNA (276 nucleotides) under uncultured Staphylococcus sp. RNAcentral's name for it is "partial 16S ribosomal RNA". It matches the Rfam family "Bacterial small subunit ribosomal RNA", at positions 505 to 781 of the family's 1533-position model. Lineage: Bacteria; Bacillati; Bacillota; Bacilli; Caryophanales; Staphylococcaceae. The record is from RNAcentral.